ACGACGCUGGCGGCAGGCCUAACACAUGCAAGUCGAGCGGUAGAGAGAAGCUUGCUUCUCUUGAGAGCGGCGGACGGGUGAGUAAUACCUAGGAAUCUGCCUGAUAGUGGGGGAUAACGUUCGGAAACGGACGCUAAUACCGCAUACGUCCUACGGGAGAAAGCAGGGGACCUUCGGGCCUUGCGCUAUCAGAUGAGCCUAGGUCGGAUUAGCUAGUUGGUGAGGUAAUGGCUCACCAAGGCUACGAUCCGUAACUGGUCUGAGAGGAUGAUCAGUCACACUGGAACUGAGACACGGUCCAGACUCCUACGGGAGGCAGCAGUGGGGAAUAUUGGACAAUGGGCGAAAGCCUGAUCCAGCCAUGCCGCGUGUGUGAAGAAGGUCUUCGGAUUGUAAAGCACUUUAAGUUGGGAGGAAGGGCAGUAAAUUAAUACUUUGCUGCUUUGACGUUACCGACAGAAUAAGCACCGGCUAACUCUGUGCCAGCAGCCGCGGUAAUACAGAGGGUGCAGCGUUAAUCGGAAUUACUGGGCGUAAAGCGCGCGUAGGUGGUUUGUUAAGUUGAAUGUGAAAUCCCCGGGCUCAACCUGGGAACUGCAUCCAAACUGCCAAGCUAGAGUAUGGUAGAGGGUAGUGGAUUUCCUGUGUAGCCGUAAAUGCG
Molecule: ribosomal RNA, 661 nt
Filed under: Pseudomonas migulae
Lineage: Bacteria; Pseudomonadati; Pseudomonadota; Gammaproteobacteria; Pseudomonadales; Pseudomonadaceae
Description: bacterial SSU rRNA
Rfam family: Bacterial small subunit ribosomal RNA
Source: RNAcentral